CCUACGGGUGGCAGCAGUGAGGAAUAUUGGUCAAUGGGCGGGAGCCUGAACCAGCCAAGUCGCGUGAGGGAAGACGGUCCUAUGGAUUGUAAACCUCUUUAGGCGGGGAGCAAUGCCGGGCACGCGUGCCCGGAGGGAGAGUACCCGCAGAAUAAGCAUCGGGUAACGCCGUGCCAGCAGCCGCGGUAAUACGGAGGAUGCGAGCGUUAUCCGGAUUUAUUGGGUUUAGAGGGUGCGUAGGCGGAUUUUUAAGUCAGCGGUAAAAUGUCCGGGCUCAACCCGGGCCGGCCGUUGAAACUGGGGAUCUUGAGUGGGCGAGAAGUAUGCGGAAUGCGUGGUGUAGCGGUGAAAUGCGUAGAUAUAUGGAAGAACACCAGUGGCGAAAGCGGCUCUCUGGUCUGUAACUGACGCUGAGGUUCGAAAGCGUGGGUAGCAAACAGGAUUAGAUACCCCAGUAGUC
This 460-nucleotide ribosomal RNA is filed under the name uncultured bacterium. RNAcentral's name for it is "partial 16S ribosomal RNA". It matches the Rfam family "Bacterial small subunit ribosomal RNA", at positions 338 to 795 of the family's 1533-position model. The record is from RNAcentral.